Molecule: long non-coding RNA, 815 nt
Filed under: Mus pahari (shrew mouse)
Lineage: Eukaryota; Metazoa; Chordata; Mammalia; Rodentia; Muridae
Description: lncRNA (MGP_PahariEiJ_G0006169.1)
Source: RNAcentral
GAUGGAGCCCAAGUCCCAAGUUCAGAGGCUCCAGUUCCUUCCCGAUUUGCUGGCUCAGUGCUAAGCCAGGGAGUGAGGCCAACAAGGCCAGUGCUGUUGAGGGCUGCUUGAAGCUACAGGUCUUUCAGGGUCCAGAUGGCUUUCCUGGCCUACUGUGUGCUCCCACUUACACAUAAGUGCACUCCCGCUAAAGCUAGGAGCUCCACAGCCAUGGCCUUUCCCAGAGAGACACUUAACUGGUGCCAUUUUUAUGAGGGAUAAUAAGAGCGGUAUCAUUGCUGGUAUGUUGGUUCCAAGGUCCUUUCAUCUCCCACGCCUCAUCUGAUGCAGAGGACAGUCAGGAGUCGUCUAGAUGCUUAUCACCCGGUGUUCCAGAGGAGCCACCGGAGCCGGAAUCGAUGGUUUUCACUGAGCAGUCCUUUCAUGAGUCAAGUCCCCACAGGUUGAGGAUCUCGAGGCAAGACAUUACACAUCCCAGGCUGGUCUCAAGCUCGUGGCAUGGCUGAGGAAGACCUUGACUUUCUGAUCUGCAAACCUCCACUUCUUAAGUACUAGGAUUAUAGGAUCUCACUCUGUAGCCCAGCCUGCUUUUGAAUCUGGGAUGUUUUCUCUGCCCAAGUCUCUCACAUGAAGAAGGCAGCCCCGAGACCUCCUUUCACAUUUAACAUUUUUACAACUGUAGGAGAGAGGGAGGGAGGAGUCUCCAGGACAUCAUGGCCAUAAGCCCCACAUCUAGAAUAGCAAGCCUGCAAAGGAGGUAAACAUGUCCUCAUUGGAAUACAGGAUCCUGCUUCUCCAGGAUGGAUCUCUCCUUC